GGAAGCGCCUUCAGAUUGACUAUUCCUUUCCAAGUAUCUCAUUUCCAGGUCCCCAAUAAGAUGCAUCCCGCGAGAAUCUGGAGCGCCAUCGUUAUGAUGGCCAUGCUGUUGGCAGGGCCACCACCAAUCGAAGCUGGACCAGCAGCGUACGGGAUCUGCCAGGCCGGAUGCGCUGCUGUCGUGGUAGCGUGCUACGCAGCGGGAGGUGCCGUUUUCGGCACCGUGACGGCCGGUGUCGGCAUCCCGGCCGCCAUUGUGGCCUGUAACAGCGCGUUCGGGACGUGUCAGGCAGCGUGCUGGGCAGCGCUUUUCAUUCCUAUCCCGUAGUGGCGUAGUCGGCUUAAUCCCCAGUUGUCAAGUGACAUGCUUUUGUUGCAGGUAUUAAUCUUCCAAGAAUUUCGCCUACAGUUCCAGCAUAAGCG
This is a long non-coding RNA of Paramacrobiotus metropolitanus, 422 nucleotides long. RefSeq lists it as uncharacterized. The record is from RefSeq and is a predicted model, not a curated record. NCBI's taxonomy places the organism in Eukaryota, Metazoa, Tardigrada, Eutardigrada, Parachela, Macrobiotidae. The transcript has 3 exons.